Molecule: ribosomal RNA, 1357 nt
Filed under: uncultured bacterium
Lineage: Bacteria
Description: bacterial SSU rRNA
Rfam family: Bacterial small subunit ribosomal RNA
Source: RNAcentral
CCUGGCUCAGGAUGAACGCUGGCGGCGCGCCUAACACAUGCAAGUCGAACGAGCGAGAGAGAGCUUGCUUUCUCAAGCGAGUGGCGAACGGGUGAGUAACGCGUGAGGAACCUGCCUCAAAGAGGGGGACAACAGUUGGAAACGACUGCUAAUACCGCAUAAGCCCACGGCUCGGCAUCGAGCAGAGGGAAAAGGAGCAAUCCGCUUUGAGAUGGCCUCGCGUCCGAUUAGCUAGUUGGUGAGGUAACGGCCCACCAAGGCGACGAUCGGUAGCCGGACUGAGAGGUUGAACGGCCACAUUGGGACUGAGACACGGCCCAGACUCCUACGGGAGGCAGCAGUGGGGAAUAUUGCACAAUGGGGGAAACCCUGAUGCAGCGACGCCGCGUGGAGGAAGAAGGUCUUCGGAUUGUAAACUCCUGUUGUUGAGGAAGAUAAUGACGGUACUCAACAAGGAAGUGACGGCUAACUACGUGCCAGCAGCCGCGGUAAAACGUAGGUCACAAGCGUUGUCCGGAAUUACUGGGUGUAAAGGGAGCGCAGGCGGGAAGACAAGUUGGAAGUGAAAUCCAUGGGCUCAACCCAUGAACUGCUUUCAAAACUGUUUUUCUUGAGUAGUGCAGAGGUAGGCGGAAUUCCCGGUGUAGCGGUGGAAUGCGUAGAUAUCGGGAGGAACACCAGUGGCGAAGGCGGCCUACUGGGCACCAACUGACGCUGAGGCUCGAAAGUGUGGGUAGCAAACAGGAUUAGAUACCCUGGUUAGUCACACUGUAAACGAUGAGUACUGGGGGUUGGGGGAUGGACCCGCUUCAGUGCCGCAGUUAACACAAUAAGUAAUUCACCUGGGGAGUACGACCGCAAGGUUGAAACUCAAAGGAAUUGACGGGGGCCCGCACAAGCAGUGGAGUAUGUGGUUUAAUUCGACGCAACGCGAAGAACCUUACCAAGUCUUGACAUCCCUUGACGAUGCUGGAAACAGUAUUUCUCUUCGGAGCAAGGAGACAGGUGGUGCAUGGUUGUCGUCAGCUCGUGUCGUGAGAUGUUGGGUUAAGUCCCGCAACGAGCGCAACCCUUAUGGUCAGUUACUACGCAAGAGGACUCUGGCCAGACUGCCGUUGACAAAACGGAGGAAGGUGGGGAUGACGUCAAAUCAUCAUGCCCUUUAUGACUUGGGCUACACACGUACUACAAUGGCGUUAAACAAAGAGAAGCAAGACCGCGAGGUGGAGCAAAACUCAGAAACAACGUCCCAGUUCGGACUGCAGGCUGCAACUCGCCUGCACGAAGUCGGAAUUGCUAGUAAUCGCAGAUCAGCAUGCUGCGGUGAAUACGUUCCCGGGCCUUGUACACACCGCCC